This is a long non-coding RNA of Platichthys flesus (European flounder), 1333 nucleotides long. RefSeq lists it as uncharacterized. NCBI's taxonomy places the organism in Eukaryota, Metazoa, Chordata, Actinopteri, Pleuronectiformes, Pleuronectidae. The transcript is spliced from 3 exons. The record is from RefSeq and is a predicted model, not a curated record.
UGUCCUCACCAAACUGUGAACCAACAAAGCAUACUUUUGCCUUGUAAAAGCAAUUUCCACGUUACGCCCUGAGGGAAUCCUUUCACAUUUGGCACAAACACACAAUUACAGUCAAGGAGUAUCUGAUUGGAUUUGGUAGCCAAAGGUCAAAGGUCAAGGUCACAGUGGCCUCACAAAACACGAAUCUUGGCCUCUUUAAAGUAAUUUUACAAAACCGCCUCUAGAGAGAUUCCUCAACUUUCGAUGAUAACUCAAAGAUGUGAAGUGAUUAGAUAUCAGUGGUCAAAGGUCACAGUGGCCUCAUCAGACUCUUGGUUGAUGGAGGUAAACUAAAAAAAAUUCUAGUUCAGUCUUAAAUAAAUAUCUGCACACAGAAUAAAGUUGAAACUAAUUCUACAGGUUCACAACUCAGUGUCUAUGUGAUGCUCUCUCUCUUCUGACCACAGGAGACUAUCUGGAGAACCUGAGGUUCCUCGUUGUUGCUCUACUUCUCCUGAUGAUUAUCAGUGUAAUUGUUGUAAAUUUAAGAUACUGGAGGAAAUCGGUUCUACAAGGAAAAACAAACAUCAAAUCCCCUUCUGGUUUAUCGAAUGAACCAGAGAGCCUGCAGGACUAUGGAAACAUUAGUAAUGCAGCUGCACGCGCACCAACAUCUCCAAAUCUCUUUGACGACCACACCAGUGAAGGUGAAGUGGAGCUGAACUUUCCAAAAGUGAGAUUCACAGCGACGCCCCGACGUCAGACGACCAACAGAGACUCCAGCAGCUCACACCAAGAUGAGAGUCUUUACUCUAACGUCAGGAUUUGACCUGAGAUGUUCUCGUCCUGCUUUUUACAGCUACCUCGGGCCUGAGGAAGUUUAUAUUCACAAUAAGUCAUCACAGAGAGUCUGAAGAGUUCAUGUGUUAAGCAAAAUAGGUCAUAGCCGUAAAUCUACAUUAAUGUAAGCUGUUCAACAAACCUUCUGCAGCUACAACAAAACCAUGCGUGUUUCCAUUAGAAGUAUUUUAAAAGUAGUUAGCAAGAAGACACAGAAGUUACAUUACUGAGCUAAAAUUUUAUAUAUGAAUAUUUACAACUGUUAAUUAAAGGUUUUUGGGAAAAUAGUGAACUUAGAAAAAUAUGAGGGAUAAACGGUUAAAAUCCUUAUUUUGCAACUUAAAAUGUAAAUAGUGUGAAUGAAAAGUGAUUGUUUUAAUAACAUUUUAUAUAAUCUAAAUAUAUAUGAUCUGCAGUUAGACAGGAAAUGCUGAGAAUCACUGCUGAAUGUUGUUUUUGACCUUUCAAGUGUUGUGAACUUAAUCCAAACCCACACUCCUGAAAUGUAAAUAUC